Molecule: ribosomal RNA, 354 nt
Filed under: uncultured bacterium
Lineage: Bacteria
Description: bacterial SSU rRNA
Rfam family: Bacterial small subunit ribosomal RNA
Source: RNAcentral
GACGAACGCUGGCGGCGUGCUUAACACAUGCAAGUCGAGCGGUAAGGCCCUUUCGGGGGUACACGAGCGGCGAACGGGUGAGUAACACGUGGGUGACCUGCCCUCAGCUCUGGGAUAAGCCUGGGAAACUGGGUCUAAUACUGGAUAUGACUCCACGGUGCAUGUCGUGGGGUGGAAAGCCUUGUGCGGCUGAGGAUGGGCCCGCGGCCUAUCAGCUUGUUGGUGGGGUGAGGCCUACCAAGGCGACGACGGGUAGCCGGCCUGAGAGGGCGACCGGCCACACUGGGACUGAGACACGGCCCAGACUCCUACGGGAGGCAGCAGUGGGGAAUCUUGCGCAAUGGGCGAAAGCCU